AGUGGCGUACGGGUGAGUAACACGUGGAUAACCUGCCCUUUAGUGGGGAAUACCGCUGGGAAACCGGCGACAAUACCGCAUAAGCUCGAGAGAGGAAAGCAGCAAUGCGCUGAAGGAGGGGUCCGCGGCCGAUUAGCUAGUUGGCAGGGUAAAAGCCUACCAAGGCUGUGAUCGGUAGCCGGCCUGAGAGGGCACACGGCCACACUGGCACUGAAACACGGGCCAGACUCCUACGGGAGGCAGCAGUGGGGAAUCUUGCACAAUGGGGGAAACCCUGAUGCAGCGACGCCGCGUGAGCGAUGAAGCCCUUCGGGGUGUAAAGCUCUUUCGGCAGGGACGAUUAUGACGGUACCUGCAGAAGCAGCUGCGGCUAACUACGUGCCAGCAGCCGCGGUAAUACGUAGGCAGCAAGCGUUGUUCGGAGUUACUGGGCGUAAAGGGUGCGUAGGCGGCUUCUUAAGUCUGGUGUGAAAUCUCCCGGCUCAACUGGGAGGGUGCGCCGGAUACUGAGGGGCUAGAGUGUGGGAGAGGAAAGUGGAAUUCCAGGUGUAGCGGUGAAAUGCGUAGAUAUCUGGAGGAACACCGGUGGUGUAAACGGCUUUCUGGACCAUUACUGACGCUGAUGCACGAAAGCGUGGGUAGCAAACAGGAUUAGAUACCCUGGUAGUCCACGCCCUAAACGAUGCAUAUUUGGUGUGGGCCAUUCAGUUGGUCCGUGCCGGAGCUAACGCGUUAAAUAUGCCGCCUGGGGAGUACAGUCGCAAGGCUGAAACUCAAAGGAAUUGACGGGGGCCCGCACAAGCGGUGGAGCAUGUGGUUUAAUUCGA
Molecule: ribosomal RNA, 827 nt
Filed under: uncultured bacterium
Lineage: Bacteria
Description: bacterial SSU rRNA
Rfam family: Bacterial small subunit ribosomal RNA
Source: RNAcentral